RNAcentral lists this ribosomal RNA (216 nucleotides) under Glomeromycotina sp. RNAcentral's name for it is "partial small subunit ribosomal RNA". The stretch from base 40 to 216 matches the Rfam family "Eukaryotic small subunit ribosomal RNA", at positions 686 to 864 of the family's 1831-position model. The record is from RNAcentral. Lineage: Eukaryota; Fungi; Glomeromycota.
GGGUCAGUAGGUUGGUCGUGCCACCGGUACGUACUGGUCUCACUGAUUCCUCCUUCCUGAAGAACCGUAAUGCCAUUAAUUUGGUGUUGCGGGGAAACAGGUCUGUUACUUUGAAAAAAUUAGAGUGUUUAAAGCAAGCUAACGCUUGAAUACAUUAGCAUGGAAUAAUGAAAUAGGACGAUCAAUCCUAUUUUGUUGGUUUCUAGGAUUGACGUA